This 329-nucleotide ribosomal RNA is filed under the name uncultured eukaryote. Its description in RNAcentral is "partial 18S ribosomal RNA". It matches the Rfam family "Eukaryotic small subunit ribosomal RNA", at positions 1470 to 1796 of the family's 1831-position model. The record is from RNAcentral.
CCCUUAGAUGUUCUGGGCCGCACGCGCGCUACACUGACGAUGGCAACGAGUUUUUCCUUCGCCGAAAGGUGUGGGUAAUCUUUUGAAACAUCGUCGUGCUGGGGAUAGAUCAUUGCAAUUUUUGAUCUUGAACGAGGAAUUCCUAGUAAGCGCGAGUCAUCAGCUCGCGUUGAUUACGUCCCUGCCCUUUGUACACACCGCCCGUCGCUACUAACGAUUGAAUGGUUUAGUGAGGACUCCUGAUUGGCGCCGCCGCCCCGGCAACGGAGCAGCGGACUGCCGAAAAGUUGUUCAAACUUGAUCAUUUAGAGGAAGUAAAAGUCGUAACA